Molecule: long non-coding RNA, 661 nt
Organism: Tachysurus vachellii
Lineage: Eukaryota; Metazoa; Chordata; Actinopteri; Siluriformes; Bagridae
Exons: 2
Source: RefSeq, a predicted model, not a curated record
AGGAGGUGUUUUUUUUUUUGCUUCGAGAGAGUUUAAGUCGGAUAUAGCUAAAAUACCCAAUGGCAAAGUGUGUAAAACUGUCUGUAUUUGGCAAAAGAAUUGUUAUUAAUACCUUUUAUUUAGUGGAUUGGUGUUUAUACUCUGUACGAGAGUAAACGUUUACGUUUUGUUUUUUCUGAGUCUGCCGUAUAGCGCAGCCCGUCGCUACGCUAAUUAUCGGGACUACGCUACAAAGAGACUUCUAUCUGACGGUUUUCCAGCAGUGCGUUUAGUUUAUUUAAUUUUCGUGAAGCAGUUGUGACUCUAUAUCGGACGUGGUUUGGAAUCUCAAUGCCAUGGUGAUACAGUAUCGCGUUGCUUUUCGGGAGAGGAGGCCGUGAGACUUCAGGAAUAUCUACCGCUUCAUGUGAGGAUAAGUUCGCGUUUCAACCACCUUGGAAGGCAUUCAGGAAUUGAUUUGGAAUGGGGGAUAAAAAUGGGCAUUCUGGAGGAGUGAGGUUGAAGGAUGGUUGCUGAAUUUACUUUUGAGCAGGUAUUAGGUCAUCAAUGGCUUUGCCUUUCUCUAGUCGCUUCUCCAUCUCCACCAGCAGCUUCACUCCAUCUACCACCAUCUGAACAAGCUCCACCUCAGAGAAGCCCAGCCGGUCAGCAUUAGAGAUAU